UGGUUUUCAACAUUUGGUACAUGAAUUUUUUUUCGUCCUAGAGUUAUACCUCAAGUCUUAAUUUUGGGACAGUUUCAUACAUCCAUCACGUUGGCUGUUAAGUAUGUCGUUAACUGAUGAUGUGACACUCACGUGGACAAUGAUUGGGCGCCAUGUGGAUAUUAAAAUAAAAUAAAAGGACUUAAAAACAAUGGAAAAAUCAGUCAUAGGGAUUUGGGCCUUCCCUUUCCUCCACCCUUACGACCCCUUUUUCUUCCUCUUCUUUUCUACAGCCACCAAAGCCAAUUUCCCAAUUCUCUUUUCCCAAAUCGAUACCACCAUGGCACCAUUACUUGGGUUCUCUCUCUUUCUUCUUUGUCGAUAACAAUGAGGCAGCAUAAUCGAACUUCUCCCUCUUUUUUGUCAACGACAGUAAGAAAAGGGGCAGCGUCAUCGUACAUGGAUGCCACUGAUGGGAAUGGGGUGCCGAAGAAUCUGAAAUGUCCUCCCUCUCUGUCUG
This 499-nucleotide long non-coding RNA is filed under the name Malus domestica (apple). RNAcentral's name for it is "long non-coding RNA (MDOM_LNC000530)". Lineage: Eukaryota; Viridiplantae; Streptophyta; Magnoliopsida; Rosales; Rosaceae. The record is from RNAcentral.